Erinaceus europaeus (western European hedgehog) is the source of this 687-nucleotide long non-coding RNA. RefSeq lists it as uncharacterized. The record is from RefSeq and is a predicted model, not a curated record. Lineage: Eukaryota; Metazoa; Chordata; Mammalia; Eulipotyphla; Erinaceidae. The transcript has 3 exons.
AAAAUUUUUUAAGUCAGUUCUGAGCAUCAAGAUCAAACAGGCUUCCAGUGCUGCCAGUACUAGUUAUUAACCUCUCUGGGCCUCAUCUGUCCUCUGGAAAGAGGGAGUAUAACAGUUACACCGACCUCUCAAGGUUAUUGCAAUCAUUAAAUUAGAUGAUUUGUGUAACAUGAUUAACACAGUGUCCCCCUCAAUGGUGCUUGUCUUGCUUCUAAACAGAAACAGUGCAGGGCAAAAGCCCUGGGAAAGCCCUGCCUAGGAUUGUGAUCUGCAGCAAGAAAGGAGAGAGCAAGACUCGGCAAUGGCAGGUUCAUUUGACAAGUAGACAGAUUGGUGACCUGAGCGAAGAAAGAGAUUCUGGAGAUGGAUUCCCUCCAAGAUCUUUGCUGUCUUCCAUUGAUGGGAUGGUUACUAGCCACCAGGUUCCAGAUGCCAUCAGGAUGCCAACCAGGCUUCCCUGGACUGAAGACCCCACCAAUAUGUCCUGGAGCUCCGCUUCCCCAGAGACCCACCCUACUAGGGAAAGAGAGAGGCAGACUGGGAGUAUGGAUCGACCAGUCAACGUCCAUGUUCAGCGGGGAAGCAAUUACAGAAGCUAGACCUUCCACCUUCUGCAACCCACAGCGACCCUGGGUCCAUGCUCCCAGAGGGAUAGAGAAUGGGAAAGCUAUCAGGGGAGGGGAUGGG